Long non-coding RNA from Salvia splendens (bonfire salvia), 7769 nucleotides. RefSeq lists it as uncharacterized. Lineage: Eukaryota; Viridiplantae; Streptophyta; Magnoliopsida; Lamiales; Lamiaceae. The transcript is spliced from 8 exons. The record is from RefSeq and is a predicted model, not a curated record.
CAAACUCUGAAACCCUAGUUAAUUCAAAUUCAAAGUCUGAAACUUGCGCCUCCUUCCCCCAACGCCUCUUUCUCUCAAAUCUCCCUUCUCUCUCGCCUCUGCCGGAAACGGCUGCCACUGCCGGCCCGCCGGCCAUCUCUCCCUGCUUCCCUUCUCUCCUUUCCUCUCUUCUCACUCUCCCUCUCGGUCUCCCUCUCCGCCAGCACCGCCGCCGGCUGGAAACUGCCGCUGCUGUCGUCGGGCUGCCGCCGUCGCUGCGCCGGCCGCCGUCGCCGUCGUCGUUCGUGAGAAAUUAAGAGGGGUUGAAAAGGAGCCAAGAAGUGUCGUGUUUGCCGUAUUUCGCCACCACCGCCGGCUGCCGUCGCCGCCGCCGACCCGGCGCUGCUGCUGUUGCUGACAGAGGACAGAAACUCCAGCCAGGGACAUGGUUUGGGAGAAAAAGUGGGCAUUCGAGACUAAAGAGUGGCUAUCCGAAAAGUGCCAUAAUGCCUAUUGCAAAGUGUUGGAUACAGAGGGUUAUAUAUAUAUAUAUAUAUAUAUAUAUAUAUAUAUAUUCACAUGUAUAGCUAGUGUAUUACUCAUGCCGCAAGGCAAGCAAUUUUCCCAACUUCUUGCACCUACUUGUUCGAGCAAUUUUCCUUUCUCCCAUCUUGGAGCUUGGGAAGGGGUGGACUGCAGAAGCAACUAGCUUCCUAUAUUGGACUCCCGGCCCUGAUGAAUAAAAUGAGUAGGGAAUGAGCUUCAUAAAAGGGAAUUUUAAUGCCAGAAAAGGAAGGUAGGAAGGUAAGACUGAUCUUGCAAAGAUGAUAGGAAAGAAAGAUGGCAUGGCAAUAUAUUUUUAAAGAAAACAAUUUAAUCGAUCAAUCAAAAUUGAAUGUUGGAAAGUUUCGAAGAUGAUCUAAAUUGACAGAGUACUACGUUUUUUUAUUCUGAUAAAGAUACACUGGUAGAUGUUUGCUUUCAGCAUUUUGGUAUGUGAGAAGGUACCAGGUUUCUAGCAGGCCGGAAAUCCGAGCUAUUAUUGUAGUCGUCAAAUCUUGGUCUUUGAGGAUUCUGGUAACUCUACUUCUCAUCUUUUUCGGGUGUCAUUCAAACCUGUAUAUACUCAACUUGUGAUGUUUCCUACUUAUACAUGAGUGCCUAACUGCUAUUUAUUCUCAUUCAUGCCUGAUAUGUUGAUUUUAUAGAGGACUUACAUGUUUUUUUGUAAUUGACAUGUUAUGAUUAAGAGUAAAUUUCCGAGAGGUUGUCUGCCAUGGCUCUCUAAUAUGUGCUUCUCCCUAGUUUUUCAUGAUUUCAUACACAUCACCAAUUGAUAAACAAUGGAUAUUAGCUUCUUAAAUAUCCAAAAAUUGCCCUAGUACUAUGCUACUCUGUACUGAGGACGAAAUGCUUCCAUGAACAGAGUUUCACCACUUGCUAUUUGUGUAUGCAUGCAAGAUUUUCUCUCUAUUGAUUGUCACUACUUUCACCACUUUUUUAUGGGUUAUUAGUGUAGGCUUCAUUUCUCUCUCGGGUUGAUCUGAAAACUUGUUGCUUACUAACUUCUGGAGAACUAGGUUUCUCGUGCUUCAAUAAAGUGACAAUAGUGUUCUUUGGUGCCCGAUUUCUUGAGCUAAGGAGAGAGAACUAUUCCGGUUUUGAAAAAUUAAUUGAAAAAGCCAUAGGGCCGAUCGAAUGGAUGAGAGCUUUAUGAGUUGCAAUCUUGUUGAUAUUGGUGCAUAAAAAUGAUUUAGGCAAUAGGACAAAAAGCCUCAUAUCCAAAUUAUCACAUGCCUAACCCUACAUAAACCCCUAGUGAGCCAUUUUGAGCCCCAAAAACCUAAUUUCUUUGUUUAAAAAUUUUGAAGUCACUAUAUUAGCCAUACUUAUUAUAUCCAUUUGUCGGCCUAUAUUUUCUACCAUAGUCACUAAAAUUAAAAUGCUAGCACAUUCUUGGGAGGGUUUUAAUGGUGGCAAGGAAAAGAUGGAAGUCCUGUAACAUUCUUGGGAGGGUACUUAUAGUGGCAAGAAAAAGAUGGAAGUCCUGGAACAUUCAUCAGGUGGUAUUCAUUUAUACUGAGAUACAAAGUGAAAAAGCUUCGUCUUCAAACAAAAAUAAAAUAAAAAGGCAGCCUUUAAAGUGUAAAAAAAAUCCAAGGCUAGAAAAAAAAGACAGCCUUUCAUGUGUAAGAAAAAGCCAAGGCCAGAAAAGUAAAAGGCAACCUUUCAUGUGUAAAAAAAAGCCAAGGCUAGAAAAGUAAAAGGCAGCCUUUCAUGUGUUAAAAAAAGCCAAGGCUAGUAAAAAAUAAAAAUAAAAGGCAGCCUUUCAUGUGUAAAAAAAAGCCAAAGGCUAGAAAAAAAGUGAAAAAUAGAAAUCUGCUCAAAAGAAUAUGAUGACUUUGUUUAGAUGGUAGAAAAAUUCGAGUUUUAGGUGUUGAGAUGUCAGAAUUUCGCACGCAUUGAGUGAGAUGUGAAGGAUGUUGUGAAGGAUGCUAUGAUGGAUGUGCUAGUAUUUUAAGAAGGUGAUAAGCUACUUAACCAAAUAUGAUCACACCUUUACCAAAAGCCCCAUUACAUCCAAAUGAAUAAGACCUUUUGAUUUAUGCAUCAUACUGACUUGUGAGCGAUGAAUUUUGCUUGAGUUUGGGAGAAAGAUCUUAUGUGCUUAAAAGAAAGAAUAGCCGGAAGAUAUUCUCUUUAUGAAUUAGUGACGAUGGUUUGAGACUCCCAAGACAUAAAUCGAACUUACAUUGAAGUAUUGGGAUGCCUAGCUCUUAGGGAAUUAGUUCGUGUACAAUUCUUGUUCUAAAGUCUUACCCGCGAGUGAAUUCGGGGUCAACCUAAUUUCUCUAAAUGAUUUGUGUGAUUUGACGUGACUUGAAGUAGAGGAUUAUCUAAUGUCUUGUGAAUGUGCUUAUUUGUCUAACUUGACUUGAAGUAGAGCAAGACUUAUGUUUUGGCGUAUUUGAUGUGUGUGGGUAAUUGUUUAACUUGUUAUUAUACAAUGGAUGGAAUGGAGGGUAGCGUACUAUUGCUCCAGUUCAAUUUUGACCAUCUCACUAUUUAUUCCAGUGAGUUGAAGGGUAUAAAGCUGCAACCAAUAUUUGCUUCAAUAGUCAAACAUUUAUUUUUAUAAACCUAAAUCUUUCUGAUGCUCUACACUUGUCGGUACCUGAUAAAAUUGGGGUUGUACUUGCUUUGUCUAUUUCUGAAGAACACGAUAUAUUCACUAUGCCUGGAUGUGUGGUUAGUUAUUCUCUUCUUUGUACAUACAUUUAGAUAUAAUUUUUUGUUUAGUUGUAGGAAGUGGAAUACAUACAACAGCUUAUAAUUUUUACCUCCUUGGAAUUCUUCUACAUGUUGCACUAAACCUGUAACCCUUUUCUUGGUUGUAUGCAGGAAAGACUUUGUGUUUGAGUCAGAUCACAGAGCAAUCAUGCUGCGUUUGAGGCUAUUGAGAUAAUUCAGCAUAUUCUUGUAUUACUCGUAGUCGAUUUGAAGGCCUCUCUAAGCAUUUAGAUUCAUUCUUGCAAAUGUUAUCUCUUGUGCAACUAAGGUGUUUUCCGUGAAAGUUCCUAUGCAUAAAUAGACUAGAAAGUACUUAGUCGAUCUAAAGGUCGAGGGUGGUAGGGGGCGACUGAGUUCUUAACAUAAAAGAAACGGGUGGAAAGGAUGGAAAACUGAAGGCACAAGUCUAUUUAUUGAUUUUUGAGCUUGCUUUGCUUGAUCUUUUGCUUCUUGGUUGUUGCACCUAUAUUUUUCUGCUUAUUUAAUUGAUUCUUUGCUGCAUUUUUGCAGAUUUAUAAUUAAUCUGUUAAAUAUAUUAUAGUUUUGUAAGUUAUACUGAGGCUGACGUUUUUCUUCUUUUUCUAAUCCACUGUUUGCUGUCUUGCUGCUCUAUAAAUAAUACAUGCAUAGUAUCCUAUUUUUCUUUAUCUCAUAUGCCUGCACAAAUAUGUGUUAUAUUAGUGUUUCUUUGAUAUAUAAACCCCCAUUGAUUGUCAAAUCUUGGCAUCUUAAUAUAUGUUUUUACAGGCUCUUUCCCAAGUACUUACUAGACACAUUUCCUUUUUACUUUGGCAUUAGGUUUGCUGAACUUGCAUCUAAAAAGAAAUCAUGGGCCUUGGAAGCUGGUUGAGCUCUCAAUUGAGUCUAUAACAAAUGUAUAUAGUAUUUUACCGUACAUGCAAUAUCUACACUUUGAGAAGAUUUUGCCUUUUAUACAUAUGCAGUUUUCAAUUUCUCAUUUGUUUUGCCUACUGUUAACAUGGGCAUUUGUUUUGUAUAGUUUCUUGCAUUGCUGAAAAAAUGUUUGGUAUAGAUUCAAGAGAGUUAAAUGCUCCCACCGAGGCAAGUUACCCGAAGGGCCAACUGGAACGUAAUACAAAGCGCUUGGCAGAUGUCGUCUCAGAUGCUUCAAAUUUUCGGAUCGGUCAUUAAGCAUCAACGUGUGACUCACCUUACCUUACGCUGGGUAUUGCUUUACGAGCUGAUUUAGAUGCUUUGAGGAAGCUUGCAUAUUGGGAAGCUUGUCCCUUCCUCGGUUAUCAGUUAAUGUUAUUAUUGUGAGUUUUAGCUACCUCGGUUAUCAGUUAAUGUUAUUAUAUUAUGAGUUUUAGCUACCUCGGUUAUCAGUUAAUGUUAUUAUUGUGAGUUUUAGUCUUACUUCGGAUUUAUGACAUUAUGAUGUUUUCCUUUGGGGGUAAGGCAUUGGAGCAGUUUGUGGACCGUCUCAUUGAGUAUUACUGCUCCAGUUUAGUUUUGACCACCUCAAUAUAUUCAAACAUUUAUUUAUUAAACCUAACCUUAGUUCGAUAUUAAGUGUGUCAUUCAUACUAAAGCUGAAGAACUACUGCACAAUCUUUCUGAUGCUUUACACUUGUCGAUACCCAAUAAAAUUGGAGUUGGUCUUGCUUUGUCUCAUUCUGAAGAACACGAUAUCUUCACGAUACCAGGAUGUGUGGUUAGUUAUUCUCUUCUUUGUACAUACAUUUAGAUAUAAUUUUUGUUUAACAUAUUCUGUUGUGUGCCAAUUCUGUUGCGUUUGAGGCUUCUGAUGUAAUUAACAUAUUCUUGUGUCACUCUUAGUCGAUUUGAAGGCCUCUCUAAGCAUUUGGAUUCAUUCUAUUUGAAGGCCUCUCUAAGCAUUUAGAUUCAUUCUUUCCAAUGUUAUCUCUUGUGCGACUAAGGUGUUUUCUAUUAUAGUUCGUAGUGCAUAAAUAGAGUAGAAUAUACUUAGUCGAUCUGAAGGUCGGGGGUGGUAGGUGGCAACUGAGUUUUUAACUUAUAAGAAACGGGGGAAGGUGUGGAAAAUAGAAGGCACAAGUCUAUUUAUUGGUUUUUGAGCUUGCUUUGCUUGGUCUUCUGCUUCCUAGUUGUUGCGCCUAUAUUUUUCUACUUAUUUUAUUCAUUCUUUGCUGUCUUUUGCAGCUAUAUAAUUAAAUUGUUACAUAUAUUAAAUUUUUGUUUGUUAUACUGUGCUUGACGUUUUUCAUCUUUUUCUAAUCCAAUUUUUGCUACCUUGCAGCAUAAUUAAUUAAUAUUCUCAUAUGCCGUGUACAAAUAUGUGCAAUAUUAGUGUUUCUUAGAUUUACAGGCUCUUUCCCAAGUAAAGUUACUUACUAGACACAUUUCCUUUUUACUUUGGCAUUAAGUUUGCUGUACUUGCAUCUAAAAAAGAAAUCAUGGGCCUUGGAAGCUGGUGGAGCAAUCAAUGAGUGUCAGUAAAGAUACUUUCUAUAAGGUUAGUGUUGCCACUACUGUGGCAGGGUGACUGAUCUUUCUCAUGAUUUUAAUAUUUUUGCAAUGCCGGAAUGGAAACUGCAGCUUGUUGCUACUAUGUAGUAAAUACUUAAAUUACAAUGGAUGGAAUCUAGACUACUUCGAUUUCUAUAUAUUUGGUCAAGUUCCGCAACAAUUUAAUUUGACUUAACAUCUCUUAUAUGCCAGUUAAGUAGUUUUAUACAUAGUCUACUAUAUUUGAGUUUGUUAUCUUUACAUGUCCGUUAGGUGAUUAUGCAACAAAUUUUGGUUUACAGAAGAACAUAUUAGUAGUGUUGUAAAAUACUAUUCAACCUAACAAUGUUAGUUCUAAUGUUACCCUGUUCUAAAAAAUUUUGGUUUGCCUAUAAUGCUCAUCCUUUGUGAAUGCUUAUGCUUCAGGAUCAGUCAUUAAGCAUCAAUGUGUGACUCACCUUACGUGGGGUAUUGCUUUACGAGCUGUUUUAGAUGCUUUGAGGAAGCCUGCAGAUUCAGAAGUUUGUUCCUUCCUAGUUUAUCAGUUAAUGUUAUUAUUGUGAAUUUCAGUCUUACCUUGAAUUUAUGACAUUCUGAUGUUUUCCUUUGGGAGUAUGGCAUUGGAGCAGUUUGUGGACCAUCUCAUUGAGUGGCCACAGUAUGCCAUCAUAUCCUGCACUGAGUAGCAUUUAUAGAUGGGGCACUCAACAGUAUUUCCGCGGCUUAUACUGAACCUGAUGUUGGCCAUACUGCCAAUACUGGUUGUGGAUAAUACUUCUACUCCAAGUGAUUUGUGUGAACUCAUGAUCACUGCAAAUUUGUCCUUCUGGUUUCAGAUUGCAGGCCCACCAUUUUCUCUGAUCGGACCCAACAGCAAUUAUCUGGAUUAUCAAUUCCCUCUUCGAUCCCACUGCAACAUAGACCACCAAGUUCUCUGAGUUCACUCCUAAUUACAUGAAGCCAUCAUAACACACCUACCCUUCCUAAGGUAGGUAAUAGUGUCUUUGUCUACUAAUCUACUCAAAAACCUACAAUGCAGUCACUCAGUGCUGCUUUGCUGUCAAUACAAUCUGCCUCGUCGGAUUUCCGUGGGCUUCUAGAUCAACCUCAGCAAGCAAGUAAAUAAUCAGGUUUAACUGUGCUACUCUCUCUCACUGUGCGCUUUAUGGAUUACAUUAACAUGGGGACUGGUUUUACAACUAUGAGAAGAGAAACUCCCAUAGAGGUGAUUGGAUGUAGCUAUCUUAUCAUUUUUAAUUCUCUGUUUACACUUUGUCUUGAUCCUUAUGGUUUUCCCAUGCUUUUACUUUGAGGAUUUUCUUCCUUGUUAUGAGUUAGCAAUUAAAAGUUCUAUUAAUAGCACAUUUAACUUUAUCCCACUGGUUAACUAAAAUCUCACACUUCUAAAUUCUUUCUUAACUCCCGACUACUUUCUCGUUUUCCUUUUCCCCUUUAGUUUCCUUAUUAUUUGUUUUCUUCCCUGUGCAAUGGAGCCGUUCUGAUUCUGGUUCAGGCCAUCAUGAACUUAAAGUUAUCGUGCUCAGACAAUAUUUCCUCAUACAUGGCUGUUAUCUCCUGCCUAAAAUCUAAAGCUUUAUCUAUUUGUGAUUUUUUCUGUUGCAGCUUAUGCAACUCUGUGAAGCUGAAAGUGUAUCAUACCCGGAUGACGUGGCCAGCAACACAGCAACUCAGGAUAUGGCAAAGUCAGCUGGGGACUCGAGGUUCUUGCAUUGCUGAAAAAAGCUUGGUAUAGAUUCAAGACAGUUAAAUGCUCCCUCCGAGGCAAGUUACCGAACGGGCAAUGGAGCUUAAGACAAAGCUCUUGGCAGAUGCCGUCUCAAAUGAUUCAAAUUAUCAGUCAUUCAUCAUGAAUUGUGUUUAUUCUGUUUGUAUUUUGUGUAUGUAUUUUGUGUAUUGUGUAGUGUUUUUUUGUAUGCAUGUGUAGAGUGUGUUUGUGUAGCGUAGGUAUUUUUGUGUAUAGUGUAUGUAGUGCAGUGUGUUUUGUUGUGUGCGGACACUACGUCUAUUUUGUGUACAGUGUGUGAAUUUUA